This 447-nucleotide ribosomal RNA is filed under the name uncultured bacterium. RNAcentral describes it as "bacterial SSU rRNA". It matches the Rfam family "Bacterial small subunit ribosomal RNA", at positions 355 to 825 of the family's 1533-position model. The record is from RNAcentral.
UGGGGAAUCUUGGACAAUGGGCGCAAGCCUGAUCCAGCCAUGCCGCGUGGAUGAUGAAGGCCUUAGGGUUGUAAAAUCCUUUCGUGGGGGACGAUAAUGACGGUACCCCAAGAAGAAGCUCCGGCUAACUUCGUGCCAGCAGCCGCGGUAAUACGAAGGGGGCUAGCGUUGUUCGGAUUUACUGGGCGUAAAGCGCGUGUAGGCGGGUCGUUAAGUUGGGGGUGAAAUCCCGAGGCUCAACCUCGGAACUGCCUUCAAAACUGGCGACCUGGACCUAAGUAGAGGCAAGUGGAAUUGCGAGUGUAGAGGUGAAAUUCGUAGAUAUUCGCAGGAACACCAGUGGCGAAGGCGACUUGCUGGACUUAUGGUGACGCUGAGACGCGAAAGCGUGGGGAGCAAACAGGAUUAGAUACCCCCGUAGUCCCUGAGCGGGCUGGCAAGGCGCAU